UCCGUAGGGGGCGAGCGUUGUCCGGAUUUAUUGGGCGGAAAGAGCUCGUAGGCGGUUACGCACGUCGGGUGGGAAAUCUCCAGGCUCAACCUGGAGCCUUCGCCCGAUACUGCGUUGACUCGAGUCCGGUAGGGGAGUGUGGAAUUCCCGGUGUAGCGGUGAAAUGCGCAGAUAUCAGGAAGAACACCAAUGGCGAAGGCGGCGUUCUGGACUGCAACUGACACUGAAAAACGAAAGCCAGGGGAGCAAACGGG
Molecule: ribosomal RNA, 254 nt
Filed under: uncultured bacterium
Lineage: Bacteria
Description: partial 16S ribosomal RNA
Rfam family: Bacterial small subunit ribosomal RNA
Source: RNAcentral